UUAAUGCCGAUCCUCAUCCUGGCGAGUGAACUGAAACUAAUUCCUAAAAUGCUAACAUCUUUUCGUGAACAGGGAAUUUUCUAAUAAGUACUCAACCACCUUUCCGACCAAUUUUACUUCACUUCGGGCUCACAAAGUCCAUUUCAUUGCCUUUUAGGCAGUCACUGGCGAAGAUGCUUCUUGCUGCUGCCGAGGUACGUCGAAAACAAAACAAUGUGUGCUAACACUGCUUUGUGUAGGGAGAUUAUUCUGCUUUGUUGUCCGCAUUUUCGGAGAUGGGGCUUGUUCUGAAGCUGGACAUGCCAGAAGAGGCGAUGGAAAUCACCAACUUUUUUUUCCGUCGUUCCUUGCCGGCUGAGGAAUCUGUGGUAAGGUUGUUUUGUUCUUCCGCAUUAUCUGCUAGAGGUCCAUGGUCUCUGCCAUUCUUCCAACCUUCCCGUAGAGAUCGAUCAUGGCACUGUACGUAACUCUGUCAAAAGAAACCCCGGUUUCACAAAGCCGGUGGAACCAGGCCAUGGCAUCCUUAGCUCAACCGCAACACUUGGAACAGCUAACAAAGAUGCUGAAGUUGUCCACUCCCUUAUAUUAAACCCUUGUUUUUAGUAAAGAACUUUACCACUGUGUUCUAAUAUACAUCCACCCAUACCAAGUAUACAUCCCCUCUUGCGGACUUUCCCUUUGUCUUUUAUCUCUGUAGCAAAAUAAACUAGUCCACCAAAUCUCCUCCUUUUCAAUUCUCAAUUAUAUUGUUUAAAGACUUUUUAAUCUUAAUUAAAAAUUUUAUUUUACAUUAGUGGAAAAUGCUCUCUCCAAAACUACCACUAUAGAACAAGGUUGUGGGGAAUGGGUUUUCGGUGCAAUUAGUAGGGACAACAAUCUAUAUGCAUUGUGGUGUCUUAAUUUGGACGAUGACAGCUUAUCUAAUCCUAUGACAGCGUACAACUGAUGAAUGUUAUAGCUGUGAUACCUGCUAUGCUUAGUCACUCGGAGGGAAAUAUAAACAUCUAUUCUACUACAUUCGACAUAAAGAUAACAGCUAUUACAAAUGGACAGCGAUCUAUGCUUGCAAUUGCGAGCCGCUUUGCUGCGCCAUCAAAUCCCUCUCGAGCCAGUCCAGGCUCAAAUCUCUUCCCAGCAGCAUCACUCCCUCUUUGAUCGCUCGCGGCUCGACUAUCUCACCAGAAUUCUGGAAGAAAACGAUGAGGAGCUCCUCCUCCAGCUGCCACAACAACAGCAAACCUCUUACCAGGUACUGCUCCGCGAGCUCACGGAAUGUCUCUCCCCCAAUUCUUGUGCUAGCAGUUCCUUGUCAAUGGACACCGCCUCUCCUCCUCAUUUUCCCUCGCGCACCUCCACCGUCUCCUUCCACAGCUUGCUCAUGGACUGCGCCCGAGCCGUAGCUGCCAACAAUUCCACCAAAGUCAAUGAGCUCGUGAGAGAGAUCAGAACUUUAGCCUCACAUCAGUCGCGUCCGGUGGAGAAGGCCGCGCUCUACUUCACCAACGCGCUCGUCGCGAGGCUGGCCGGGUGUGGAGCUCGGAUGUACGCCGCGAUGCACCAGAACGUGACGAGGAUGCAGAGUAUCUCCAUCCGGAUGAAUCUUCCCAGCCUCCGGGCCACGGAGCGCUUCGCCAACCAGAUGAUCCUCGAUGCCUGCCGUGGUGCCAAGCGUGUCCAUAUCGUCGACUAUGGGAUCCUCUACGGCGACCAGUGGCCAUCGCUCAUCAAGGCGCUGUCCGAGAGAGCCGAGGGGCCGCCACUGUUCAAGAUCACAGGCAUUGACUUCCCGUCCCUUGUCAACCUCGAGAAAACUGGAAACCGGCUGGUCGACUACGCAGAGUCGUGUGGGAUGCACCUCGAGUUCCACUCCAUCGCCACCGCGGCGUGGGAGUCAGCGCAGCCGCGAUACCAUCUCUUCAGCGAGCUUCUCUUCGUCAACUGCCAGCUGAGGAUGCGGCACAUCCGCGAGGACGGGAUCAUCGACAGCCCCCGGAAGCUCUUCUUCGAGAAGAUCCUCAGCUUCAAGCCUGUUAUGUUUUUCCAGUCCGUGGUGCACGCUGACAUCGGCUCUCCGUUUUUCAUCCACCGCUUCGACGGGGCCUGGAGGAGCUUCCUGGCGAGGCUGGAGUCGUUCGAGGAGACGAUGAAGCUCGGAUUGAUCGACCAGUCGCAGCUCGACUUCAUGGAUAAGUUCAUCGAGAAGUGCGCCAUGGGUGUCAUUGCCUGUGACGGGCAGAACCGUGUGGAGCGUAUCUCCUCGUACAAAACCUGGGAUCGCCUGGCUCGGAAAGGCCAGUUCGGACAGCUUCCAGUCAGCAAACGAGCGCUCGAGAUGGUCAUGUCCGUUUGGAGCGGACACGAGAACUUCACGUACGGAAUGGACGAGAACUGGCUGCUGCUUGGCUGGAAAGACGCAGUCUUGAAUGCUUUGAGCGUCUGGGAGCCCAUUGAGAAGCUACCGCGCUUCAAACACCAGUGAUCCACCCUGUACCUACAUUCUUUCUCUAACUUCUUUGUUCCUGAUCGUGUCCUUCCUGUAAGGAGACUAUUUAAAUGUCUUCAAAGAACACUCAAGAGGCACUUACCUUGUCACGGAAGUUCUCAAGUCCAUCGCUAUAGAACCUGAAACAUACCAGCCACUUGUAGGACACGCUUUGGUCGUCAAGCACUCAUCACGUAGAGCACUGUGUCCUUCCACCCCAGCAACAUCCAGUUUCCAUCUCUUCCGAAGCCGAAGUACGGGUUCCUGAAAUUUCCACAAGCGCUCCUCUUCUCGCUUUGCCCGAGCAUCCCAGACGCGAUACGAGGCCGCUCUCUCCACUCGAUCGAGCCCUUCGCACGCGACGAUGUUCAUGAUAUCUCUUGCGGCCACCUUUUGGAUAAAUCCGUGCUCUUCCGGCUUUCCUUCUGCCACCGCUUCAAAGUACUCGCUCGGGCAAGUGUCAGGUGACUCGUCUGCUCGGAGAUCGGGAUCCCAUGUCCACUGGCGAUGGACCAGUGAUAGAUGGUCCAGUGGAUCAAAUAGUAGAAGCCCUAAAUGUUGCAUGGGAAGUAAAUCGAAUCAACUUAUAAAACGAAAACAAGUCUUGGCCUUACGGUGGUCAAUGCUGAUCUAUCAUGAAACUCGAACCUCUAUAGCCAUUCGCCACGCCUCUUCAGCCCGUUGGUCAAGAAUAAUUUUUAGAAAUACUUCUAGGUUUUUAACCCCUAAACCUUGGCCACAAAUAACUGGCGGAUUUUGCAUGCUAUAAUCCCUCCAAAAGCUAACAUCAUUGCCAUACCUACAAAAUCAAAUGUCAUGUAUGCAGCGCUGCUUCAUGUGGGAAUCCAGAUCCUAAAAGCCUUUUUAAUCUAAGUGAAGCUUGCCUGCUUUAAAAACCUAAAAGAAUAGUCUUGGCACAUCUAUGGGAGGACCUGAAUUAGACGGAACGCUCUCGAGCUAAGCAACCAGGAGCAGCGCCGGUGGCUGCUUGAAAACUCUGCCAUCAUUGAUUACUCAGGCUGACUCAGGGAACUGCUAGAAUGCAAGACCUACGGAAUGGCACCACUUUGUGCGCGGGAAUGGUGACUUGAUACUCCGAUUGCCUUUUAGACGUUAAUGUCUUGUGUGAAGCUCCGGGGGCUUGUGAUGGUGACGCUCUCCGUGCGUGCGAGGCUGACGGUCAUGGUGGCCACCACAGCCAUGCGCGACCACCACCACUGCGAGAAGAUAGCGCACUCCAAAGAUGGACUGGUGACUAUGAAAUGGGCAUCAGGUCAUCUGUAGUUGUAGCUUUGAAUACAUUCUCCCUUCUGGUGUACUGGCGAUUUGUAGAAAUGGCAGGCCUGAUGCUGCUCCUCAGUUUGAUCGGGGCGAAUCAUGAUCUUGAGUUUUGUUCAUGCGCAGCGAAGGUGCCAUUGCUAGCCCAGUGCUGAAGAUAGAUUCUCCAUGGCCAAUAGUCCUCCACUUUGCCAACUUAUACUGGGAUUUUGUAUGGAGAGACGAUGAUUCAAGCCAACUUGAAGGGUGUGUUGAAGGGGUAGUUUUGACAAUAAACAUCUCUAACGUUUGGAACGGUGACAAGCAAGUUUAGAUCUGGAUAGAAAGUUUAGCAUUCGAGCGUAGCAAUAAGAUCGAUUUACAACAGCAAGUACGGAGGAAAUUGUAAAUAAAAUUGAAGUGUCAACCUCAUUUUCUUGAUUUUCUUUUCAUUUUUUCAAUUUUUUUUUUCACAGAAAAAGGUUGUUCUAGUUUCCACAGACAAUACGACUGUGACCAGUAAAACAAAAGCCACUAGGCCUAGGUAUAUAGAGACGAACCAACAUGAUAUUUCAAAGUGUUAAUCAGGUAACUGGCGGUUAUUUGGAUUUUGCAUGAAAAACAAUGUUUGCACUUAACAAUUGGUGGUGUAAAAAUAAUGUGCAAUCACAUCAUGUUUUUAUUUCAUAUAUUUCACAUUUUCCAGGCUAGUAUUUGUCAACUUUUAGAGUCAAGGUCUUUAAUGAUACUUCCAAGAAGCAUGGUUGCUUUUGCGAGCGACGGAACCGUCAGAUUUUGGAAUCGUUGAUUCUAAUCGUACGACUGUGGCUCGGCGGAGCGGCCUUUUAAGCCGGCAUUUUCGGACAUGGCGAUCGCAGUGGUGGAGAGCGAGCUAGGGUUUUGGAGCGCGACACCGACCAAAUGGCGUGGGGGAGCGCUCUCUGGAGGCGCGUCAAGGUGUUCCGGGUAGCAUUGCAGGUCUUCUUGGAUUACAGGGUGCGUAUCUCUUGCUUUUCGAGAGCUUGCGAGUGAUCCACCGGUCGAAAAUUUCCAGGCCGCGCGCAAGAAGGCCGCUGGAUUGCCCAAGGAGGAUCAGAACCUGCUGUGGGAUCGCAUCCACCACAGGAAUGCCGAGCGCAUUUUGGCGGCGAUCACCGAAUUGGAGGGACUGUGGGUGAAAUUUGGGCAGUAUUUAUCCACUCGAGCGGAUGUUCUUCCGGAAGCUUACAUCUCCAUGUUUCGCCAGCUCCAAGACUCACUACCUCCUCGUCCCAUUGCCGAGGCAACUUGCUUUCCUCAUUUUUUAUUUUUUUUGUUCUCUCUUUUAUUGAUCCUUCUCUUUCGCCAGGUAUCCGCUACUAUAGAAAAGCAACUGGGAAAACCACUGGACGAGCUGUUCUUAGAGUUCGACCGGAAGCCUUUCGCUACUGCCUCAGUCAGUUUCUUUCGCCUUCGAUUCUUUUUUCUUGUCUUGGAACUCAAGCUAACGUAUUGCUUUUUCAACACAGAUAGCGCAAGUUCAUCGGGCGCGCAUGAAGGACGGCCGUGAUGUUGUAGUGAAAGUCCAACAUCAAGGCAUUAAGGAGUGCGUUUUACAGGUUCUACAUUUUAACACCUUUUAGAGGUAUUUGUAGCGUAGAGACUUAAUUCUCAUGCCAGCCAUUGAUCGGGAUUCGCUUGUCCAGGACUUGUACAAUGCACGAGUGAUUGUUGAGUGGGUCGCAUGGGCGGAGCCUGAUUACGAUUUCGGCCCUGUUCUGGACGAAUGGUGCAGAGAAGUUCCCCAAGAGUUGAAUUUCAACCAGGAAGCGGGUACGGACAUUUCCAUGCAUUCUUUGUUUUUUAUUUCCUUCAUCUACUUCUACUUUUCUUCUUCUCCAGAAAACACCAAGAAAGUAGCACACAACCUCAAAUCAUGGACCAAAGACGGUACCAUCAAUAUUGAUUUUGUUGAUGUGCUUCUACCUGAAGUUGUUCAGGUUCAUGUCAAGCUUCUUGAAAUCCAAGCUGCUGUAACUCGAGUUUUGUUGUUUGUUGUUAACAGUCAGCCGAGAAAGUCCUGAUUCUCACGUACAUGGAUGGAGUUCACAUAAAUGAUGUGGCUGGCCUUGAUAGACUAGGCGUGGACAAGCAAGCUGCUGUCGAAACUAUCACCCGGGCAUACGCUCACCAGAUAUACAUCGACGGAUUUUUUAAUGCCGAUCCUCAUCCUGGCGAGUGAACUGAAACUAAUUCCUAAAAUGCUAACAUCUUUUCGUGAACAGGGAAUUUUCUAAUAAGUACUCAACCACCUUUCCGACCAAUUUUACUUGACUUCGGGCUCACAAAGUCCAUCUCAUUGCCUUUUAGGCAGUCACUGGCGAAGAUGCUUCUUGCUGCUGCCGAGGUACGUCGAAAACAAAACAAUGCGUGCUAAUACUGCUUUGUGUAGGGAG
This 6174-nucleotide long non-coding RNA is filed under the name Selaginella moellendorffii. RNAcentral describes it as "long non-coding RNA (SMOE_LNC001153)". Lineage: Eukaryota; Viridiplantae; Streptophyta; Lycopodiopsida; Selaginellales; Selaginellaceae. The record is from RNAcentral.